RNAcentral lists this ribosomal RNA (313 nucleotides) under uncultured fungus. RNAcentral describes it as "bacterial SSU rRNA". It matches the Rfam family "Eukaryotic small subunit ribosomal RNA", at positions 283 to 572 of the family's 1831-position model. The record is from RNAcentral. Lineage: Eukaryota; Fungi.
GAACGGGAUGCUUCAUUCAAAUAUCUGCCCUAUCAACUUUCUGAUGGUAGGAUAGAAGGCUACCAUGGUUUCAACUGGGUAACGGGAAUAAGGGUUCGAUUCCUGGAGUAGGGAGCCUGAGAAAUGGUUACCACAUCCAAUGGAAUGGCAUGCAUGGUGGCAAAAUUACCCAAUCCCUGACAUGGGGAAGGUAGUGACAAUUAAAUAACAAUAUAUGGGCUCUUUUGGGUCUUAUAAUUGGAAUGAUGUACAAUUUAAAUCCCUUAAAUGAUGGAACCAAUUUUGGAUGGGCAAAUGUUCUUGGGUGCCAGGC